This 249-nucleotide ribosomal RNA is filed under the name uncultured bacterium. Its description in RNAcentral is "partial 16S ribosomal RNA". It matches the Rfam family "Bacterial small subunit ribosomal RNA", at positions 102 to 353 of the family's 1533-position model. The record is from RNAcentral.
ACGGGUGAGUAAUGUCUGGGAAACUGCCUGAUGAGGGGGAUAACUACUGGAAACGGUAGCUAAUACCGCNUAACGUCGCAAGACCAAANAGGGGGACCCUCGGGCCUCUUGCCAUCGGAUGUGCCCAGAUGGGAUUAGCUUGUUGGUGGGGUAACGGCUCACCAAGGCGACGAUCCCUAGCUGGUCUGAGAGGAUGACCAGCCACACUGGAACUGAGACACGGUCCAGACUCCUACGGGAGGCAGCAUG